CCACAUCAUCAAGUUUGCUGAUGACACGGCCGUGGUGGGUCUUAUAAGCAAAGGCGACGAAUCAGCGUACAGAGAGAAGGUGCUUCGGCUAGCGGAUUGGUGUCAACAACCUGUCCCUGAACGUGGACAAAACUAAAGAGAUGGUUGUUGAGUUUAGGAGAUCACAUACCAAUCACUCUCCACUGAACAUCGACGGCUCCUCUUUGGAGAUCGCAAAGAGCACCAAAUUCAUUGUUGUUCAUCUGACUUGAGAACUUCACCUGGUCUCUCAACACCAGCUCCAUAGCAAAGAAAGCUCAGCAGCCUCUUUACUUUUUAUGCAGACUGAAGAAAGCACAUCUCCCACCCCCCAUCCUCACCACAUUUUACAAAGGGACUGAGCACCUGCAUCACUACCUGGUUUGGGAAUUGCACCAUCACAGAUCGCAAGACCCUGCAGCGGAUCGUGAGGACAGCUGAAAAGAUCAUUGGAGUCUCUCUCCCCUCUAUCACAGACGUUUACACCACUCGCUGCAUUCCGAAAGCCAUCACGAUUACUAGCGACCCUACAAACCCCUCACACCAGCUCUUCACCCUUCUGCCAUCCAGAAGAAGCUACAGAAGCAUUCAGGCCCUCACGGUCAGAUAGUGUGACAGUUUCUUCCCUCGAGUCAUCAGACUCCUCAACUCCAUGAGAACUGACCUGACAACUACACUCACACAUGUACACCCCUACUAUAAAUACUUGAAUUACAAACACUUGGAACCCAACUGCAUACUUUGCAUGUCCGGACAUUUGCAUGAAUCUACCUCAAUAUUGUGCCUUGUCUAUUAAUAUUGUGACCUGUUCUAUGUAUAAAAAUAUGUAUAUGUUUAUAUAUGUAUAUAUACAUAUAUUGUAAUGUCCCAUUCAUGUUUCAUUCAGACAUGCAGACGCACUUUAUGUAGUCUGUACUUUGCUUUAUGUUCAACUUUUUUACUUUUACUUCUUCUUCUUCUUCUUCCAGUUUUAGUAUUAUGUUAGAUUAUUUAAGAUAAUUUAAUUAUGUAUAGUCCUUUGCAAAGUACAAUGUGAGUUUUGUAGUUAAUGUUGUCUUGUGUAGCACCAUGGUCCUGGAGAAACGCUGUUUCGUAGCUGUAUAGAGCUGAAAUGAUAAUAAAGCCUCUCUGACUUUGACUGACUUUUUUUUAUAAAUUGAGUUUUUCCUUCCGUUUUUAAAAAAAUUUCCGUCCACAUGAAAGUGCAAACGCAUGCUAUGAUGCACUGUAAAGAGCAGGUCAAACCAACAGGUGGCGAUAUAAUAUAUAUGUAACAUAUAAUCUCCACCCUAAAGCCAUGUUGGCCAAUCAGAAGCCUGAAAAAGUUUCCAGUAGGAGGAGAUAACAGCGCAUGCUCAAAUGUCACAAGCCAAAAUCUCCAGUUUCGCUGUCUACAUGAUAACACUGCAAACAGAGUUUCUGAAAAUCUUCUCCCUGGCAGGAGUUUUCAAAACAGUUUGAGUGACCUGGUUUUCAUUCCUGCUGUUCUGUUUCCCAGUGAUUGAUUGUGUUGGUCAGUUCAGCUGUGUCCUCAUUAGCUGACCCUCCUCACCUGUCUGUCCCUCAUUAGCACAGCUUUAGUUCUGGCCCGCUCAGUUGUCCCUCGUCCAUUGUUGUGAAUGCUGCUCCUGUGAUUCACCCUGUGUUGAUUUAUUAAAAGACAUGUUUUUCCUUCAUCUUCAUGAGAGAGUUUAUCUUGGACACACAUACUGUGACACAUAUAUAUUAAUAAAUUGGAGAUUGGUGCUAAAACAAAUCAUAUAAAGACAGUAAUGCUUGUUUUUUUUUCUAUUUCAGUAUAUAUUUUAUUUUAUAUUUUGAACGUUUUAUAUUAUAUUUUUUGAAUGUUUAAUAUAUUAUCAAUAUUUAUAUAUUGUGAAGUGGAGAUGGAGCAACAGCAAACACAUGAAAGCCGGUCUGAUGGUUUGCAUGUUUAUGUUUUUUUCGAGUUGCUCAUGAAAGCAGGAGGUUUGUUCUUCAAAGAGCGUGAGGAAGAUGAAAAGAUCCACAUGAAAGGAUGAAGGUCCAUCUGAAAGACCUCUGCUGGCGCUGUGUGAAGGACGCAUGGAGGACCGGUGUGUGAAGUGACCGGGGCUGAAGAGAGACGUCCAGAUGACAGCAGCUGCUCUUCGGGAAUCUCAGCAGUUCUGCUGCGCAUCGAGCUGCACGUCUCUACAUCCUCCUCCACGGAUUUCACUACUCCAUCCACCCACCAUCCAUCCAUUUUUGACUGGGCCCAGGAGGAUUAUGCUGUUCUUCACAGGACGAGAUCUCAGAGCGUGGGCAGGAGAGUCAGCAGCGAGCCCCUAAUGACACAGCGACACCCACACACGUCCAAAACCAAUUUUACCCUCACUAAAAGAACAGCCCUCGCACGUUCCCAUGCAUACAAAUGGCUGAUCGAUGGCGGUCAGCGACUCUCGGCCCUCUGAGAUAUAGUGAGCUCCAGAUCGAUGCCAAUGACAGGUGUUAGAACCACAGACCCCUCCAACAACAAUCCCUGGAAAUGUUGGUUUCCACUCGUCUCUCGUAAUCUCAUUAGGGACAUGAAUGGCUCCCUUUUGAAAGGCGCUGAUGCCGGAGAAGAGGAGGGCGGCAUGGAGAAUGAGUAUUGAAUUUGAGUAAUCCGGGAUGGAGGGCAGCGUUCCAUCUCUUGUGCUGGAGCUGCAGAUAAGGCGUCGUCUAUUGAGGGCUCGUCAGCGCUCACACUCAGAAGGUGUCUUGCAGAGUAAGGUGACCUGCUUUUGUACAGUCGUGCGUUUGUGAAAGAGUCACCCAUCAGAUAACAUGAUCACGAACGGUUCAAAAGAAAGCUGGAAGGUGCAUCUUUGUACCUUAUUCACAUCUAGAUGUACAUAUUAGACUACAUAUUAGCAGCUAAAGUGUACAUAUUAGUAUCUUUUGAAGGGGUUUCAGCUCAGGUUCACAUGAAGCGCAGUUGAUAUAAACCUUAUUUGACACAAACUGAAAUCAAAGAAUGAAAAACUGGUGUGACAUCUUUUCAUUUAAAAACCGGCCAAAAACAAAGUUCAUUUUCAAGUUUGAAACGCUCUGGCUGGUAAACACCCCUGAACUACCAUUGGUCCGUGCUGCUGAUGUAAUAAGUGGGCGUGGCUCUGGGGCUCCGCCUUCUUUGAUGUGGAAGCUUUCUCCGGUUCAUGUCUUCUGUUCAGCCCAUUAUGGAAGCCACAGAAUAAAAGAAAUAAAAAAGUAGCAGAAACAUACUUGUGAGACACAAACUGAGAACUGCUGGAUAUAAACUAUCCUGAGAAAAAAGUCUGAAUUGUGAGGGUUUUUUUAUCUUGGGGCAGAAACAAGCUUCCAUAGUCCAUCGAGUUCAGAUACCUGUAAAAACAUAACCUUUUUUUGAAGCUUUGAAUCAACUUAAUUUUUUGCUUUGCUAAAUGAUUAAUUUUUUCAAUGCACUUGAAAGCGCUUGUUUUGUUUGUUUUAUUGAGGUCUUGGUUAAUUAAUGCCUCAAUGCAUAUCAUUGAAAUUUUAUAACAUUUCAAAAUAUAUUACUUAAUGAAGCCUUUAUUACUGAAAUCACGUGACUUUGGCAGUUUGAUACACUCUCUGAAUCACAGGUUUGAAACAAACGAUUCGAAGCUUCACGAAGAGGCAUUUCUAAAACACACAUCACUAGAGGUCAGUUCAAAACACAAACACACUGCAGAGCUGCUUUACUGUAGAAACUCAAGGUGUAAUUCUAAAUAAAAGCUACACUGACACUAUUUAUCAUGUUUAAUAAUGUAAAGUGCUAUAUAAAUAAACAUAACAUGACUACAGCAACCAUCCAAAUUGCUAUGAUGCUUUCUUAACUGCUGUUUUCUCUCCACUCUCAUAUUGUUGUGUGCUUAUUUUGAGAGGAAAGCGCACAGCACAUAUUGACAUAUUCAUCGAGAUGUUUGCUAACAGUAAACGGCUCAUUUCCAGCUUCUUUUUACCUCUAAGGGAAGAGUGAUAAGAAGUUCGCCCUGAGCACAUCGGGCCUUCGGUAUCUGGUGGUAAUUGUGCUGCGGAUCCGUCUCAGAAAGUUUCACACAGAGUUGAGCAGCUCCUUUCUGCUGGAGAUGUGAGGCGCUGAGGGAGGAGGACAGCGUCAAUAGACAAAAAGGCAGGUGCUGCGACACAGCGAUUUCUCUGGCAGCAGGUUUUUUGGGAUGGAGGGAUGGAUCCUGUCAGCAUCUCACGUUGAUAAGAGCCGGCGGGCGCGUGAGAGACAUGUGGCAUCAGCAGAACCGGAACGCUGUGCUAUUCAUUAACGCACAUCACGCCAUUGUGUCUUCCUAUAUGUCCGUCUCCUGGUCAUUAAGUCAACCCUCGAUGUCAGAAAUGUCCAAUAUCUGCGGUCGGGUUUGUAACACGAGCUCCGGGUCUGAAUCACUGGAACAUAAUGAAAGUUUUCUGCUGUGUGUUUGCUGGAAAGCCAUAUAUACAUCCAUAAUGAAUGUCUCUGAGCAUCACGGUGGACAAUGAACCGCAUUAUUUUGCUUCGUUACUGGUGCGUCCGACAGACUGACGAUUAGCUGAGACUUCAUCUGCUCAGCCAAUCCACACUGAGCAUUGAUUCUAGUAUUAGACAUCAUAUGUGAUGCAUUAAAAAUGGAGCAGAAUUGGAACAAUUACCUGGAUGUAGUUGAUAUUCAGCAAAAUAGUUUCAGCAAAACUUUUCACGCAGCAGUAGUACUAGAACAAUCCUGAACACUGUUAAACUACAGCACGUCUUAAAUAGAGUUUGAGCUCUAGACAUGAACGACUCCUCAGAUCACGCGUGUGCUUUCACUCACGGUAAUGUUCAGAUCUAGUGUUCUCUUGUCACUGUGUUUGAUUGAAGUGCUUCCAGAUCGGUUUCUGCAAGUGUUUCAUAAUCUAUGCUGCCUGGCCAAAAAAAUGCACACCUUUUUCUUUUUGGUUUAAAAGACAAUUAAUAGUCUGUAUAUUAUUGACUGAGCUGCA
This is a long non-coding RNA of Cyprinus carpio carpio, 4977 nucleotides long. Lineage: Eukaryota; Metazoa; Chordata; Actinopteri; Cypriniformes; Cyprinidae. The record is from Ensembl.